This 1486-nucleotide ribosomal RNA is filed under the name uncultured Bordetella sp. RNAcentral's name for it is "partial 16S-23S ribosomal RNA intergenic spacer". It matches the Rfam family "Bacterial small subunit ribosomal RNA". Lineage: Bacteria; Pseudomonadati; Pseudomonadota; Betaproteobacteria; Burkholderiales; Alcaligenaceae. The record is from RNAcentral.
AGUUCGAUCAUGGCUCAGAUUGAACGCUGGCGGGAUGCUGCACAUAUGCAAGUCCAGCGUCGAACGGCAACACGGACUUCGGUCUGGUGGCGAGUGACGGGCGCGGUGAGUAAUAUCGGAACGUGCCUAGUAGCGGGGGAUAACUACGCGAAAGCGUAGCUAAUGCCGCAUACGCCCUUCGGGGAAAGCGGGAAAGCCUUCGGGCCUCGCCUUCAAUGAAACGGCCGAUAUCGGAUUAGCCUAGUUGGUGGGGUAACGGCUCUGAAGGCGACGAUCAGCAGCUGGUUGAGAGGACGACCAGCCACACUGCCAGGACUGAGGCUUACGGCCCAGACUCCUACGGGAGGCAGCAGUGGGAAUUUUGGACAAUGGGGGAAACCCUGAUCCAGCCAUCCCGCGUGUGCGAUGAAGGCCUUCCGGGUUGCAACGCCUUUUGGCAGGAAAGAAACGGCACGGGAUGACACUGUUUUUAACGAUAAUUGCCACCUGGAACUCAUUUCAUUGAAACGGGCGCUGGCGCUGCGGUGGCCGUGGAGAUUUCAAACAGAUCGGAAUUACUGGGCGUAAAGCGUGCGCAGGCGGUUCGGAAAGAAAGAUGUGAAAUCCCAGAGCUUAACUUUGGAACUGUUUAACUACCGAGCUAGAGUGUGUCAGAGGGAGGUGGAAUUCCACCGUGUGGCGGUGAAAUGCGUAGAUAUGCAGGAGGAACACCGAUGGCGAAGGCAGCCUCCUGGGAUAACACUGACGCUCAUGCACAGCGUGGGGAGCGGCAAGAAGUUAGAUACCCUGGUAGUCACGCCCUAAACGUUAACAAAGCUAGCUGUUGGGGCCUUCGGGCCUUGGUAGCGCAAUAACGCGUGAAGUUGACCGCCUGGGAAUACGGUCGCAAGAUUAAAACUCAAAGGAAUUGACGGGGACCCGCACAAGCGGUGGAUGAUGUGGAUUAAUUCGAUGCAACGCCGAAAAACCUUACCUACCUUGACAUGUCUGGAAUCCCCGAAGAAUUUGGGAGUGCUCGCAAGAGAACCGGAACACAGGUGCUGCAUAUUGUCGUCAGUUCGUGUCGUGAGAUGUUGGGUUAAGUCCCGCAACGAGCGCAACCCUUGUCAUUAGUUGCUACGAGGCACUCUAAUGAGACUGCCAGUGACAAACCGGAGGAAGGUGGGGAUGACGUCAAGUCCUCAUGGCCCUUAUGGGUAGGGCUUCACACGUCAUACAAUGGUCGGGACAGAGGGUCGCCAGCCCGCGAGAAGAGGCCAAUCCCAGAAACCCGAUCGUAGUCCGGAUCGCAGUCUGCAACUCAGCUGCGUGAAGUCGGAAUCGCUAGUAAUCGCGGAUCAGCAUGUCGCGGUGAAUACGUUCCCGGGUCUUGUACACACCGCCCGUCACCAUGGAAUUAGGUUUCAGAAGUAGUUAGCUAACCGUAAAGGAGGGAGCGAUUACCACGGUAGGAUUCGCUGACUGGGGUGAAGUCGUAACAAGGUAA